RNAcentral lists this ribosomal RNA (429 nucleotides) under Acidobacteriota bacterium. RNAcentral describes it as "Acidobacteria bacterium partial 16S ribosomal RNA". It matches the Rfam family "Bacterial small subunit ribosomal RNA", at positions 355 to 776 of the family's 1533-position model. The record is from RNAcentral. Lineage: Bacteria; Pseudomonadati; Acidobacteriota.
UGGGGAAUUUUGGACAAUGGGGGAAACCCUGAUCCAGCCAUCCCGCGUGUGCGAUGAAGGCCUUCGGGUUGUAAAGCACUUUUGUCAGGAAAGAAACGUCAUGGGUUAAUACCCCGUGAAACUGACGGUACCUGCAGAAUAAGCACCGGCUAACUACGUGCCAGCAGCCGCGGUAAUACGUAGGGUGCAAGCGUUAAUCGGAAUUACUGGGCGUAAAGUGUGCGCAGGCGGUUCGGAAAGAGAGAUGUGAAAUCCCAGAGCUCAACUUUGGAACUGCAUUUUUAACUACCGGGCUAGAGUGUGUCAGAGGGGGGUGGAAUUCCGCGUGUAGCAGUGAAAUGCGUAGAUAUGCGGAGGAACACCGAUGGCGAAGGCAGCCUCCUGAGAUAACACUGACGCUCAUGCACGAAAGCGUGGGGAGCAAACAGG